GAUGAAGAACGUAGCGAAAUGCGAUACUUGGUGUGAAUUGCAGAAUCCCGUGAACCAUCGAGUCUUUGAACGCAAGUUGCGCCUCAAGCCAUUAGGUUGAGGGCACGUCUGCCUGGGCGUCACAUAUCGUUGCCUGAUGCCAGUUUCCUCGUGAUGGGUGACUGUGCAGGGCGAAUGAUGGCUUCCCGUGAGCAUUGUUGUCUCAUGGUUGGUUGAAAAUUGAGUCCUUGGUAGGGAGCGCCGUGAUAGAUGGUGGUUGAGUGACGAACGAGACCCAAUCAUGUGAGACCCCUACCGAAUUUGGCCUUCAUGACCCACAUGCGUCUUUGGAACGCUCAUGACGAGACCUCAGGUCAGGCGGGGCUACCCGCUGAGUUUAAGCAUAUCAAUAAGCGGAGGA
Molecule: unclassified non-coding RNA, 400 nt
Filed under: soil metagenome
Description: partial contains 5.8S ribosomal RNA, internal transcribed spacer 2, and large subunit ribosomal RNA
Rfam family: 5.8S ribosomal RNA (bases 1-122)
Source: RNAcentral